RNAcentral lists this ribosomal RNA (253 nucleotides) under uncultured bacterium. RNAcentral describes it as "partial 16S ribosomal RNA". It matches the Rfam family "Bacterial small subunit ribosomal RNA", at positions 524 to 776 of the family's 1533-position model. The record is from RNAcentral.
GACGUAGGGCGCGAGCGUUGUCCGGAUUUAUUGGGCGUAAAGAGCUCGUAGGCGGCUCGUCGCGUCGACCGUGAAAACCCGCGGCUUAACUGCGGGCUUGCGGUUGAUACGGGCGGGCUAGAGUUCGGUAGGGGAGACUGGAAUUCCUGGUGUAGCGGUGAAAUGCGCAGAUAUCAGGAGGAACACCGGUGGCGAAGGCGGCUCUCUAGUACGGUACUGACGCUGAGACGCGAAAGCGUGGGGAGCGAACAGG